GGGGGGGGGGGGGGGGGGGGGGAGGGGGGGGGGGGCGGGCGAGCGGGCGGGAAGCGUGCGUCUCGGAUGUUAGCGGGGGACGGGUGAGUAACGCGGGGAUAGCCGACCUAUAAGACGGGGAGCACUUCGGGAAGCCGGGGCUAAUACCGGAUGAUAUUUUGACCCGCAUGGUUCAAAAGUGAAAGACGGUCUUUCUGUCACUUAUCGAUGUAUCCGCUCUGCAUUAGCGAGUUGGUAAGGUAACGGCUUACCAAGGCAACGAUGCAUAGCCGACCUGAGAGGGUGAUCGGCCCCACUGGAACUGAGACACGGUCCAGACUCCUACGGGAGGCAGCAGUAGGGAAUCUUCCGCAAUGGGCGAAAGCCUGACGGAGCAACGCCGCGUGAGUGAUGAAGGUCUUCGGAUCGUAAAACUCUGUUAUUAGGGAAGAACAUAUGUGUAAGUAACUGUGCACAUCUUGACGGUACCUAAUCAGAAAGCCACGGCUAACUACGUG
Molecule: ribosomal RNA, 497 nt
Filed under: uncultured bacterium
Lineage: Bacteria
Description: partial 16S ribosomal RNA
Rfam family: Bacterial small subunit ribosomal RNA
Source: RNAcentral